Chinchilla lanigera (long-tailed chinchilla) is the source of this 4321-nucleotide long non-coding RNA. RefSeq lists it as uncharacterized. The transcript is spliced from 6 exons. NCBI's taxonomy places the organism in Eukaryota, Metazoa, Chordata, Mammalia, Rodentia, Chinchillidae. The record is from RefSeq and is a predicted model, not a curated record.
UGCCUAAGAAAUCCCUUACCAUAAAUACUUCACAAAGCUCUGAGGAGGGCAGAUUCUGGCCAGAAACAUCCGUGCCCCUUUGAAACCAGGCACCUUGCCGUAUUUCAGCCAAUCCUGGCAGACGCUAUCUCUGGGAUUUGCCAACACUAUUAAGGAAAGGAAAUUACAAGUUUCUGGUGGAGGUGGGGAGAGCUGCACUCGGCGCUCUGCUUAGAGGAAAGUGCUUAUGAGGUGUGCCUUGCUGAGUACAUAUUACAUGUGUCUGAAUAACUCAGACCUCUAUCUGGUUCCUUACUACAGCUACAGAGAAACAACAUAAGAAGAUAAGCAACACGGUGUGCAGCUAAGAACUUAGGUAUCACUGAGGCCAUUUCGUCCAUUCAUCAAUCAUUGGCCUAGGAGAAAGAGAACAUUCACCAGCAUUGUUUCUGCCAGGCAAGUCAUUGCUCUGCUUCAUUCUUUACAUCCUCAGAACUGCCAAAUCCUGUGCCAUCACAUUUUGAAAUGCAUGUAGUUGCUGUGCUCCUUUUCUGCAUCUUUUUUUGCAGCACCUGGGGAGCAUGUCUCUUGGUAGCUCAGGUCUGCCCACUUUUACAGGGGAACAAGUCCCCAUGGAGAACAGAGAGAAGUAUCUGGUCUCAAUUUGCUGCUAUAGCAAGAGACCCUGCUGAGUACUUUCAGAUGGUUUUGGCUGAGCUCAAGGCAUUGUUGGAUGAGGCAGAGAUGGGAAAACUAUAGCUGUAUAUAAUUAUAUUCCCAGAGUCACAGAGAUGAAUUUUGGCUUUAUUCUAAAUCCCCCUCAAAGCACAAAACUAUUUUUUCCUGACAUGAACAUCUACUUGCCUCAGUAACAGUAAGAGAACCUUGUCUGUUAUGAGUUAUCUUCUUCCUCAUCCCCUUGACCCGCAUGGCUGUGAGAGUACUAUGUCGCUCGUGUCCUACCUAGAGUGGGGCUAAGCCUUGAAAAACUGUGAUGUUCUUAGGCACACUUAAGGGGAAAAGGUAAUUAUUAAGUGUAAAGCUCAAGGCCAAAAUCCCAUCUCCUCCACAAAACCUUCAAGCUAAAAUAGCCUCUCUUAACCUUGAAUUCCUAUGCACUGCCCUGACAUUCAACCAAAAGAGCUCUAAACUUCCAUGAGUUCUGCUGUUUUAUGUGUCGUUUCUCCUGUGGAUCUCAGGUUGUUAGAAGGUGGAGAUCUUGUUUUAGUUUUUCCUUCAUGUCCUGGUGACACCUGCUUCAAUAAGCUCCUAUUAAGUGCUCAUUAAAUGCUGGCUUAAUUAAUGAAUAAGUCUUCCUCCCUCUUCCACCAGUCCCAUCAGACUACAUUGAUUCCCUCCAGUUUAUACUCUAGAGCUCAACUAGUGAGCUAUUUUUGUGAUCCUGGCUAUUAAUCUCAGCAAGACUGACAGCAGUAAAAUCAAACUGGCUUUGUCCGGGAGAGCAGACCAGGAGCCGUCUGAGCAGGAGACAGCGCUGCUGUCACUGUCAUCCUGCAUCCAACCAAUGCCUUCUGAGAGCAGUUUCCAGCUUGAAAACAAAGUAGAGCAGAUAAGUAUGGUCCCAUUACAUAUGUUACAGGAAAACCUGGGAUUAAAAUCUUCUUAAAUGGUUCUCUUCCUGAUUGCAUUCUAGAGGUCACUUCCGUUUACAAACCAGAAAAAAACUUCGAGUUUGAAAGAACAGCUAUGACCUACUCCAAGCAGACAGGACUGAGGUGAAGCUUGACCUCGAUGCAGCUCCCACACUCUUCCACUCCCAGCCCCCGCUGCACUGCUGUUUUCACCAGAAAUCAGACAGUUCUCUGUCCAGUAUUAUUUCUUACUUAAAUAAAAAACCAAAAGACAAAACAAAAAACAUCUGUUGCAAACAAAUAGGACUUGAUAAAUUUUCCCAUUAGGAAAAAAAUUUUUUUUAAAUGAUGCAGAAAAAGAGUGAUGAUUAAUACAAAUAUAUUGUCAAUGGCAGAAAUUCAAGCAUUAGCUCAGUCCAGCUGCAAAACACAGGCAUCUUUUCUGUUAGUGACAGGGACUCAAGGAUUAGUGCAGUCAUGGUGCAGAAGCAGCAGCAACGAAAAGGCUUUUUACCUGAGGGUAGGUGACUCCUGACGGUAGGUGAGUAUUCAUGAUGCUGGUGCUCAUCGUAAUAAAUAUUUCCUGCAGAAUCAGGAGUGCAAACAUUCCUGGCCACAUCACUUAGCAUUGCUUUAUUUUAAAAGGGAGAGGUCAUCUCACCCAGCUGUUUGGUGAUCUAAUAUUCCGGAAUGAAAACAACUAAAGGUUAGCAAUGAAUCUCAGUCCUGAAUCCAAGCUGAUACUUUCACUUUAGAGGCCUGGGUUUAUCUGGAGAGAAAAACCAAACAGACCCCUUAGGAAAAGGAAAUGCAGCACUACUAAGCUUUUUACUUUGCAGAAGUGUCUUCUAAGGGAGCCCAGGAGCCAGUCACAUGGCUCAGCUUCUCCUUAUCCACCUUCUGAGGCGGCUCUCCCAUUUGGGUUGGUUCUGCUAUCUUAUAAUGACUAGUUAAAACCUGUGCCCUUGAGUUUUGGCCAAAAUUUGGACACAAACUCAUUUCUUUGCUCUUCUCCUUAACAUAGCUAAGUCACGUCAGAACUUUCACAAAUACCAAGUAAAACAAAUGUAAAGAGCAUAGAAUAUAUCCAUACAUGAAAACUCUUUGGUAUAUGCUUUAUACUGAGUUAUCCUCCAAGAGCCUCAUGUGCUCAGAGGCAGGGUUUUGGGAAGGCGAUUGAGUUAUAGGGGUGCCACAGCUAAAUGUCUGAUUAGGAGGUGGGGCCUGGUCAAGAGAGGUGGGUGGCUGUGGCUGUGACCUGAAAGGGUCUCUCUCCCUUCCUGGCUCCUCUCUUUGCCUUGGCUCCCUGGCUGCUGGGACCUGAGCCGCUUUUCCAUCUGUGUGCCCCUUCCGCCAUGCCAUCUGCCCUGGAGACAGCUGAUGCUGAGCUGAAACCUGUAACUCUUUCAAUGGUCAACUCCUUCCAGAUGUCUUGGCUAUGCUAUGGUCAAGAUCUGAAAAAAACAUAUUUCCAGGUGACCACUACAGUCUCCACUUUCCCAUUCCCUGACGCUCCUUCUACCAUGCUGUAGUCGGAGAAGUGCAUGUGUUAGCCAAGUGAUGGAUGCUAUGAGCCACCGCACUCUCCAGUUUUUCAAUCUCCAGAGAAAGUUUAUGUAACUCCAGCGCCAUUUUUGAGUCCCUGGGACUUGGGAGACACUGUAAGAGGUUUUUGCCUGCUUGGACAAUAUUACGAUCUUCAGGAACUUGCUGAAAAAGAAAAUCAAAAUGAUGAUUUUAGAAAGCCUUCCCAUUCCCUGUAAAGGGUUAAGCAUCUCUUGGGAUGCCAUGUGACACGAGGACUGUUGGAAGGUAUCAUCAUGAUUUAGAUCUACAAUUUUCCUCGGUAUCCUCGUGUGAUUGGGUCAUGGCAGGAGUUACAUUCGUCAGUGGAUUCAUCCAUUGCAGGGUGGACCCUUCCUCCAAGUCAUGUCUGAGCCACUCUGCAGAACUACUGUCCCUGGGAGCCUGGGUUACCUUGACACUGAGGAGCUGGUGAUGACCAUCCCAGAAACCUGCAGGAGAUUAUGGCUGCUCCGACCAGAGCAUAUCCUUCGUUGCACUCAUACUGCACCUCGGUAGUGAGCGCCAGGUAUCCGGUAAGAUAGAAAUGCAGAGGAAGUGCAGAGAGGUGAAGCAGCUUGCCCAAGGUCAGACAGUGUGUGAGAAGAAUCAGUGUAGUUUGCUGGACAGCGUCCAUGCCCUGAACAGCAUGCCUCAGUUAAGAGGAUGUGAUACUUGUGGGCCGAGGAUGACCUUUCAAUAUUAAGCUUAAUAUUGGUAAAAGAGGAGUCCUCUACUCAAGAAACAUGUGAUAUGGAGGAGUUGCCCUGCAAGAACUCGUAAGGGCUGUGCAAGCCCAGAACACCCAAAUACUUUCUCCCACUAACCCCAGGAAUGGCACUGGUUUUUAAAUCUCUUAUAGAAGAGAAUCAUGCAGAAAUUUUGUCUUAAAUGCUUGAGUAAUAGAAAUUGCUUACCAACUGCAAAAAUAAAAUUUUGUAUUUGUAUAACAUUUUAAGGCUUACAAAGAACUUUCAUGCACAUUUCUUAUGACUUUAAUUCUAGUUGAUUUUCUCAGAAUUUGAGGCAAUAAUCAUUUUAUAUUUCCUUUACAGACAGUAAAAGGUGACAGCAAAUUAGUAAAUGUAUAGCAGGAAAUAAAUAACUCCCUUAAAAGCAAAGGAAUUUUAAGCAUUUUCAUAUUUAGAUGUGAUGAAGUUCUUUAAAAUUAUUCUUGUGGGAAUGCA